Molecule: unclassified non-coding RNA, 337 nt
Filed under: soil metagenome
Description: partial contains 5.8S ribosomal RNA, internal transcribed spacer 2, and large subunit ribosomal RNA
Rfam family: 5.8S ribosomal RNA (bases 1-120)
Source: RNAcentral
GAUGAAGAACGCAGCGAAAUGCGAUACGUAAUGUGAAUUGCAGAAUUCAGUGAAUCAUCGAGUCUUUGAACGCACAUUGCGCCCCCUGGCAUUCCGGGGGGCAUGCCUGUCCGAGCGUCAUUUCUGCCCUCAAGCACGGCUUGUGUGUUGGGUGUGGUCCCCCCGGGGACCUGCCCGAAAGGCAGCGGCGACGUCCGCCUAGGUCCUCGAGCGUAUGGGGCUUUGUCACUCGCUCGGGAGGGGCCUGCGGGCGUUGGUCAUCCACUAUUUUUCCACGAUUGACCUCGGAUCAGGUAGGAGUUACCCGCUGAACUUAAGCAUAUCAAUAAGCGGAGGA